Molecule: ribosomal RNA, 401 nt
Filed under: archaeon enrichment culture DGGE band DS18
Lineage: Archaea
Description: bacterial SSU rRNA
Rfam family: Archaeal small subunit ribosomal RNA
Source: RNAcentral
AGCCGCCGCGGUAUUGUGUCAGCCGCCGCGGUAAUACCGGCGGCCCAAGUGGUGGCCGCUAUUAUUGGGCCUAAAGCGUCCGUAGCCGGGCCCGUAAGUCCCUGGCGAAAUCCCACGGCUCAACCGUGGGGCUUGCUGGGGAUACUGCGGGCCUUGGGACCGGGAGAGGCCGGGGGUACCCCUGGGGUAGGGGUGAAAUCCUAUAAUCCCAGGGGGACCGCCAGUGGCGAAGGCGCCCGGCUGGAACGGGUCCGACGGUGAGGGACGAAGGCCAGGGGAGCGAACCGGAUUAGAUACCCGGGUAGUCCUGGCUGUAAAGGAUGCGGGCUAGGUGUCGGGCGAGCUUCGAGCUCGCCCGGUGCCGGAGGGAAGCCGUUAAGCCCGCCGCCUGGGAGUACGCC